AACCACGGGCUCAGUGAAAUUGAAAUCUCGGUGAAGAUGCCGAGUACCCGCGGCAAGACGGAAAGACCCCGUGAACCUUUACUAUAACUUGACAGUGGUAUUCGGGUGGAUCUGUGUAGGAUAGGUGGGAGGCUUCGAAGCCGGUGCGCCAGCAUCGGUGGAGCCGUCGUUGAAAUACCACCCUGGUCCUCCUGGAUGCCUAACGUGGUCGGCUGAAGCGUCGGCACGGACACUGUCUGGUGGGUAGUUUGACUGGGGCGGUCGCCUCCUAAAAAGUAACGGAGGCGCACAAAGGUUCCCUCAGGCUGAUUGGAAACCAGCCGAAGAGUGCAAAGGCAGAAGGGAGCUUGACUGCGAGACCUACAAGUCGAGCAGGUGCGAAAGCAGGUCUUAGUGAUCCGGUGGUUCUGAGUGGAAGGGCCAUCGCUUAACGGAUAAAAGGUACUCCGGGGAUAACAGGCUUAUCUCCCCCAAGAGUUCACAUCGACGGGGAGGUUUGGCACCUCGAUGUCGGCUCAUCGCAUCCUGGGGCUGGAGCAGGUCCCAAGGGUUUGGCUGUUCGCCAAUUAAAGCGGUACGCGAGCUGGGUUCAGAACGUCGUGAGACAGUUCGGUCCCUAUCUGCCGUGGGCGGAGGAGUUUUGAGAGGAUCUGUCCCUAGUACGAGAGGACCGGGAUGGACUGACCUCUGGUGCACCAGUUGUCACGCCAGUGGCAUGGCUGGGUAGCUACGUCGGGACGGGAUAACCGCUGAAAGCAUCUAAGCGGGAAGCCCACCUCAAGAUGAGAACUCCCAAGGGUUUAUCCCUUCUGAAGGCCCGUUGUAGACCACAACGUGGAUAGGCUGGGUGUGUAAGCGUCGGAAAAGGCGUUGAGCUAACCAGUACUAAUAGGCCGUGAGGCUUGACCUC
This 910-nucleotide ribosomal RNA is filed under the name Nitrospira sp. RNAcentral's name for it is "partial 23S ribosomal RNA". It matches the Rfam family "Bacterial large subunit ribosomal RNA", at positions 2023 to 2925 of the family's 2925-position model. Lineage: Bacteria; Pseudomonadati; Nitrospirota; Nitrospiria; Nitrospirales; Nitrospiraceae. The record is from RNAcentral.